This 949-nucleotide long non-coding RNA is filed under the name Rosa chinensis. RNAcentral's name for it is "sRNA RchiOBHm_Chr7g0242501". The record is from RNAcentral. Lineage: Eukaryota; Viridiplantae; Streptophyta; Magnoliopsida; Rosales; Rosaceae.
CCCUAAAAGCCAUUUCUCCCUCACUCUCGGCCGUACACUCUCUCUCUCCCCGACCUCACUUUCUCGUCCUCUCCCUCUGCCAUCGCCGGAACCACAUCGUCCGGCCACCGCCUCACCUCACCGCUACCACCAAUCGAAGCAGCACCUCAAUCCAACCUAAACCCAUAAGAGAUCGAAGCCAUGCAUCGACCCGGCCUCUCUCUUCCGCUAUCCUUCUCUCUGCCACCAUCGGAGACUCCAUCUCCGGCCACCAUCUCCCCACACCGUCUUCACCAAUCGACGCAGCAUCCAAAACCAACCCAAGCCCGAGCCUUAACGUCGAAAUACAUCGCCGGCAGCCUCUACCCGUGACCACCCAAGGCUGCGACGCUGCUGCCACUCAACCUCCAUCAAUUUCUGGCCGCCUUUUCAAUACACCGUAGCCUCCUGUGAGCUCAGGGAGCGCCGACCAUCAAGCCCCCGACAUCCCAUCGCCAGAAGACGUUGAACACACAUCGCCGGAAACCGAGCUCUGCAUGCCUUCGUUCUCUAAUCUCCAACGCGAAUCGUGCUAAACCACCUCCAUGGUUGGAAUCAGCGUCUCACGUUUUCCAAAAGUCCAAACACCCGACCUCCGAUUCCGACCAGAGCCGCCACACGCGCCGCCGGCGCCGGCCCGUGAGAAUCCUUGAUGCCGCCGUGAACUCUGCCGGCGUAGUCCUCUUAUUCUGGUAAGCCGUUUUUAAAGCCCCCUUUCGUUAUUUGGUUGAGUUUCAUUUCCAAAGUAGUGGAUUGCUGAUGUUCAAAUCUUUUGGUUGAUGUUCUUGAAUUCGGGACUUGGAGGAUGGGAAUUGAGAUGAGAGGGGAGCUUCUUGUCUUGGUAUCGAUUUCAGUUUUGGUGGGAUGGUGAAGAAUACAGAAGGACUGCAAGAAGCGGUACGUUAUGGAGUUUGUGGUUUCGGCAGAACUA